UACGUAGGGUGCAAGCGUUGUCCGGAAUUAUUGGGCGUAAAGAGCUCGUAGGCGGUUCGUCGCGUCGGCUGUGAAAACCCGGAGCUCAACUCCGGGCCUGCAGUCGAUACGGGCGGACUUGAGUGUUGCAGGGGAGACUGGAAUUCCUGGUGUAGCGGUGAAAUGCGCAGAUAUCAGGAGGAACACCGGUGGCGAAGGCGGGUCUCUGGGCAACUACUGACGCUGGGAAGCGAAAGCAUGGGGAGCGAACAGG
RNAcentral lists this ribosomal RNA (253 nucleotides) under uncultured bacterium. Its description in RNAcentral is "partial 16S ribosomal RNA". It matches the Rfam family "Bacterial small subunit ribosomal RNA", at positions 524 to 776 of the family's 1533-position model. The record is from RNAcentral.